AUUUGAAAUUUUUUUAAUUUUAUUUUUUUUAAAUCAGUUUGUUCCCACUUCAUUGGAAUUUUUUAAUUUUAUCACGCAAACCAUUUUGAAUCCGUUCGAUCUGAUUUAAGACAUGUUGGACGCUUUAGAUAUCACUGAAUGUCUUGAAAUUAAAAAUAGAUCUCGAUGCGCAGGGCCGGAUGUUUGAUCCGCUUAAAAUUUUUAAAUUUCUAAAAUCAAUUUUUCGAACCGCUUUACAGCAUUUUCUGAGCAGACGUUGGGUAGCCAGUGGAUGCCUGUUCAAACGGUGGCCCACUCGAGUGCUCGAAUCAGAUAUGGAGCGAGAAAAUUUGAGAAAUGCCAGUCCUCGUGUAGAAUCAAACAAUAUUCUUGCUCAACUACGGUUCUGAUUUGGUGUUCUUUUAAUGAGGUCGACUGAAAUGUUAAAAAAGAUCAGAACUGAACGCUGAAUUUGUAAAUGUGUCAUCAGGUGUUGAGUUUUCCGAAAAUAUUAAUUUGAUUUGGUUCCUAUGAAUUUUUUAUCGAAGGCCUAGGUUACCACCUUAACGAAUCCCUUUUAUUCUUACAAUUCAGCAAAACUCUAUUUGUUGUGUAUCCCAAAAUUGACCCG
Long non-coding RNA from Bradysia coprophila, 610 nucleotides. Lineage: Eukaryota; Metazoa; Arthropoda; Insecta; Diptera; Sciaridae. The record is from RefSeq and is a predicted model, not a curated record.